RNAcentral lists this ribosomal RNA (415 nucleotides) under uncultured bacterium. RNAcentral describes it as "bacterial SSU rRNA". It matches the Rfam family "Bacterial small subunit ribosomal RNA", at positions 355 to 794 of the family's 1533-position model. The record is from RNAcentral.
UGGGGAAGUCUUGCGCAAUGGGCGAAGACCUGACGCAGCAACGCCGCGUGCGGGACGAAGGCCUUCGGGUUGUAAACCGCUUCAGCAGGGACGCGGUACCUGCAGAAGAAGCCCCGGCCAACUACGUGCCAGCAGCCGCGGUAACACGUAGGGGGCGAGCGUUGUCCGGAUUUAUUGGGCGUAAAGAGCUCGUAGGCGGUUCGGUAAGUCGGAUGUGAAAUCUCCACGCUCAACGUGGAGGGGCCAUUCGAUACUGCCGGACUCGAGUCCGGUAGAGGAGUGUGGAAUUCCCGGUGUAGCGGUGAAAUGCGCAGAGAUCGGGAGGAACACCCGUAGCGAAGGCGGCACUCUGGGCCGGUACUGACGCUGAGGAGCGAAAGCGUGGGGAGCAAACAGGAUUAGAUACCCUUGUAGU